GACGAACGCUGGCGGCGUGCCUAAUACAUGCAAGUAGAACGCUGAAGGAGGAGCUUGCUUCUCUGGAUGAGUUGCGAACGGGUGAGUAACGCGUAGGUAACCUGCCUGGUAGCGGGGGAUAACUAUUGGAAACGAUAGCUAAUACCGCAUAAGAGUAGAUGUCGCAUGACAUUUGCUUAAAAGGUGCAAUUGCAUCACUACCAGAUGGACCUGCGUUGUAUUAGCUAGUUGGUGAGGUAACGGCUCACCAAGGCAACGAUACAUAGCCGACCUGAGAGGGUGAUCAGCCACACUGGGACUGAGACACGGCCCAGACUCCUACGGGAGGCAGCAGUAGGGAAUCUUCGGCAAUGGACGGAAGUCUGACCGAGCAACGCCGCGUGAGUGAAGAAGGUUUUCGGAUCGUAAAGCUCUGUUGUAAGAGAAGAACGAGUGUGAGAGUGGAAAGUUCACACUGUGACGGUAUCUUACCAGAAAGAGACGGCUAACUACGUG
Molecule: ribosomal RNA, 495 nt
Filed under: uncultured bacterium
Lineage: Bacteria
Description: partial 16S ribosomal RNA
Rfam family: Bacterial small subunit ribosomal RNA
Source: RNAcentral